AGUGAACGCUGGCGGUAGGCCUAACACAUGCAAGUCGAACGGCAGCACAGUAAGAGCUUGCUCUUACGGGUGGCGAGUGGCGGACGGGUGAGGAAUACAUCGGCAUCUACUUUUUCGUGGGGGAUAACGUAGGGAAACUUACGCUAAUACCGCAUACGACCUACGGGUGAAAGCAGGGGAUCUUCGGACCUUGCGCGACUGAAUGAGACGGUUUCGGAUUAGCUAGUUGGCGGGGUAAAGGCCCACCAAGGCGACGAUCCGUAGCCGGUCUGAGAGGAUGGUCAGCCACACUGGAAGUGAGACACGGUCCAGACUCCUAGGGGGGGCAGCAGUGGGGAAUAUUGGACAAUGGGCGCAAGCCUGAGCCAGCCACACCGCGUGGGUGAAGAAGGCUUGCGGGUUGUAAAGCCCUUUUGUUGGGAAAGAAAAGCAGCAGGUUAAUACCCCGCUGUUCUGACGGUACCCAAAGAAUAAGCACCGGUGAACUCCUG
This 491-nucleotide ribosomal RNA is filed under the name uncultured bacterium. Its description in RNAcentral is "partial 16S ribosomal RNA". It matches the Rfam family "Bacterial small subunit ribosomal RNA", at positions 29 to 506 of the family's 1533-position model. The record is from RNAcentral.